AUCCCGGCGCUGCCCACCCACCACACCGCUAGCGCCUCUGAACCUCGCCAGGCACGUCCGGUUCUGCGGCCCCCACUCCGCCCCCGCCUGCCGGGAGCCGCGCAGUUACAAAGUGCCGGGAGCCGUGCAGGGCCAGUGAACCCCUCGCUGAGACUCAGUUUGCUGCCAUCACAAGUGCUCUGAGAAUCCUGGAGAGGGAGGAUAUUGGAGACAAACGGGACUGCUGCCCGCCUUUUAGGCGACCGUUGGAGGCUGCUCUGUGCCGGACACAGGCAGGGGAAGAGGCCAGUACCCAGCAGCCAUGGCCCAAGCGCAGGUGGUCUGUUCUGUGCACCCAGCAUCCCCCUAGGGUCUAAACCAGGAGGUGGAGGCCAGAUACAAGAAAACCACAGUACCAGUAAAUGACAAAGGCUGGAUCUUAACCCAAGUCCUCCGACUCUGAAGGCCAUACCCAACAGCCAGCUCAGACCCAGGCGGUGGAGCAGGAAGGCUCUGGGGAAAACAGUGUGAGUCACCGGGCGGCCAGAGUGUGUCCUUCCCUGCUAGCGCACUACACGGCAGGUUUCAUAGCUUGACAGCAAAGUGUUUGAAAACGAAGAGCAGGAAUUCCGCGGUUCCUGCCCGGCCUCGCCAUCCAGCUGGGAGAAGAGCAUGGUCAUUUCCUUCACUUAGUCCACGGCCACUCGGCGCUCAUCCCCAGCACAGCCCUCCCCAGGCUGCGGCAAAGACUGUUGCUGUCCUGCUGAGGGAUGUGCCCCCGGGGAUUCAAUCGAGAUUCUGUAAGAUGUGGGGGAUGUGGCGGGGUGGGGGGUGGCUUCUCCACAUCCCCAGGGCUCUCCUUCUUCCCCAGUGAGGUGGGAGAAGCCGCAGAUUGGGGUCUGCUGAGGAGCGGGCCUACAUGAGGCCCAGGUCGUGACCCAUGGCUCCGGGGACCAGAAGGUAAACAGUUUCGGCACAGGGUGCUCCCACUAGGUCAUAGGUGGAUUCAGCCUUCUCUGAGAACCGAGAAGAUUCUGGAGUCUUUUGAAGCAGGAAAGGAGAUCAGAGGAGGAGAUGGUGGCAAAGCGGGGACUGAGACUCUUGAAAUGUGUUUAUCCCAGGCAGAGCAGCCGCUGAAAGGGGAGAUGGAGAGAGAAUGUCAAAAGCAGCACUGGGUGUUUUCCUGGGGUCUCUCCACAGUGCCCCAUCAUUUCCGAAUCACCAGGCCCGCUGGCACAGGGGUCUGCAGCCCAACCUCGCAGAAUGACCCCCUCUCUGCAGGCGGGCAUCACCCUGACAGCCCCCUCCCAGGACAGAAAACCUAUAGACACCUGGCUGCUGGGUGUCAGGCCACCCGCCCGUUUCUCUUCCUUUCCUUCCAGCCUUUCCUCUCCCAACCAGCCCCCUCCCCACCCGGUCCCCCUUCUAUUUUUCCUGGCUAAAACCAGCCACAGAUACCACCACACCCGGAAAGAGAUAAAUAAAUAAAAGAAAAACAACCUCAACUGUGAAAA
Homo sapiens (human) is the source of this 1493-nucleotide long non-coding RNA. The record is from Ensembl. NCBI's taxonomy places the organism in Eukaryota, Metazoa, Chordata, Mammalia, Primates, Hominidae.